RNAcentral lists this ribosomal RNA (439 nucleotides) under uncultured Bacillota bacterium. RNAcentral describes it as "bacterial SSU rRNA". It matches the Rfam family "Bacterial small subunit ribosomal RNA", at positions 917 to 1359 of the family's 1533-position model. The record is from RNAcentral. Lineage: Bacteria; Bacillati; Bacillota.
GGGCCCGCACAAGCAGCGGAGCAUGUGGUUUAAUUCGAAGCAACGCGAAGAACCUUACCAAGGCUUGACAUCCCCUGACCGACAUGGAAACAUGUUUUCUCUUCGGAGCAGGGAGACAGGUGGUGCAUGGUUGUCGUCAGCUCGUGUCGUGAGAUGUUGGGUUAAGUCCCGCAACGAGCGCAACCCUUGUCCUUAGUUACCAGCAUUAAGUUGGGGACUCUAGGGAGACUGCCGGGGAUAACUCGGAGGAAGGUGGGGACGACGUCAAAUCAUCAUGCCCCUUAUGUCUUGGGCUACACACGUGCUACAAUGGCCGUCACAGAGGGAAGCGAAGUGGUAACAUGGAGCGAAUCUCAAAAAGGCGGUCCCAGUUCGGAUUGUGGGCUGCAACCCGCCCACAUGAAGUCGGAGUUGCUAGUAAUCGCGAAUCAGCAUGUCG